This 422-nucleotide ribosomal RNA is filed under the name uncultured bacterium. Its description in RNAcentral is "bacterial SSU rRNA". It matches the Rfam family "Bacterial small subunit ribosomal RNA", at positions 355 to 774 of the family's 1533-position model. The record is from RNAcentral.
UGAGGAAUAUUGGUCAAUGGACGAGAGUCUGAACCAGCCAAAUCGCGUGAAGGAAGACUGCCCUACGGGUUGUAAACUUCUUUUGUACAGGAAUAAAAGACAUUACGUGUAAUGUAUUGCAUGUACUGUACGAAUAAGCAUCGGCUAACUCCGUGCCAGCAGCCGCGGUAAUACGGAGGAUGCGAGCGUUAUCCGGAUUUAUUGGGUUUAAAGGGUGCGCAGGCGGGAUUUUAAGUCAGCGGUGAAAUUUUCAGGCUCAACCUGAACACUGCCGUUGAAACUGGGAUUCUUGAGUAGGGAUGAAGUAGGCGGAAUUCGUUGUGUAGCGGUGACAUGCUUAGAUAUAACGAGGAACUCCGAUUGCGUAGGCAGCUUACUAAGCCAUAACUGACGCUCAAGCACGAAAGCGUGGGGAUCAAACA